This is a small nucleolar RNA of Rhineura floridana, 79 nucleotides long. RefSeq annotates it as small nucleolar RNA SNORD53/SNORD92. The record is from RefSeq and is a predicted model, not a curated record. The transcript has a single exon. Lineage: Eukaryota; Metazoa; Chordata; Lepidosauria; Squamata; Rhineuridae.
AUGCUGUGAUGAUCUCCAUCUUGGUUUCGCUUAUCACUGAAUUCCAAUGAUGACAUAUUUCUCUUGGCUGUCUGAGCAU